Non-coding RNA from Flagelloscypha sp. PMI_526, 72 nucleotides. Lineage: Eukaryota; Fungi; Basidiomycota; Agaricomycetes; Agaricales; Niaceae. The record is from the annotation of a GenBank genome assembly.
UCCUAUAUGGUGUAGUGGCUAACAUUACCGCCUUUCACGCGGUAGCCCAGGGUUCGAUUCCCUGUAUAGGAG